Molecule: ribosomal RNA, 388 nt
Filed under: uncultured eukaryote
Lineage: Eukaryota
Description: partial 18S ribosomal RNA
Rfam family: Eukaryotic small subunit ribosomal RNA
Source: RNAcentral
CAAUAGCGUAUAUUAAAAUUGUUGCAGUUAAAAAGCUCGUAGUUGGAUUUCUGAUCGAGACAUCAGGUCGGGUCCGAGAGGAUCAUGUACUUUGAUUUUGUUUUGAUCAUCCUUGGGGAGAGCAUUUCUGGCAUUCAGUUGUCGGGAUUGGGAUCCUCAUCGUUUACUGUGAAAAAAUUAGAGUGUUCAAAGCAGGCCUCGGCCUCUGAAUACAUUAGCAUGGAAUAAUAAGAUAGGACUUUGGUGGUCUAUUUUGUUGGUUUGCACGCCAAAGUAAUGAUUAAUAGGGAUAGUUGGGGGUAUUCGUAUUCAAUUGUCAGAGGUGAAAUUCUUGGAUUUAUGGAAGACGAACUACUGCGAAAGCAUUUGCCAAGGAUGUUUUCAUUGA